CUUCGACAACUGCUCCCCAGGUUUGGGGUGGGGAGCGGACACGGGGAGUUUUGGGGGGGGACACACACCUAGGAGGUUUGGGGGUGGGGGGGGACACCACAUCUCUGCCGUGACCCCCCCCGUCCCCGCAGGUGACGAGCUCAACCAGAGGCACCAUCUCUUCGAGGUCUACCAGGACCCCUGCCGCCGGGGGCCGGGGCAGGAGCAGCCCUGGGCCAUGGGGACCCUGCUCAACUACCUGAAGAUCUACGAGGAGCCCGUGUCCACCCCCGAGAGGAUGAGGAGGACGCUCUCCCAGCCGGGGGGGCGGCAGCAGUACCUGGCGGGCCCCAUCCUGGCCAGUGGCCGUCCCGCCCCGCUGGCCCCCGGCCCCUGGCACGGCCGGCGCGUGGACUACCUCCUGUUCCGGCAGCACCGCGGGGCGCCCCCCCUGCGCACGGUGAGUGCCGGGGGGCAGGACGGGGGGCCCCGUGUGUGUGUCCCCCCUCCCCGUGUCCCCACACCCCCAGCCCUGACGGCCCCCCCUCCCCGCAGGAGGUGGCGGGGGUCUCCUUCAUCACCCAGCUGGCCACCUUCUCCGACCACUUGCCCGUGGCCCUGCGGCUCGACGUGGCCCCG
Molecule: long non-coding RNA, 618 nt
Filed under: Calidris pygmaea (Spoon-billed sandpiper)
Lineage: Eukaryota; Metazoa; Chordata; Aves; Charadriiformes; Scolopacidae
Description: lncRNA (ENSCPGG00000017761.1)
Source: RNAcentral